Molecule: ribosomal RNA, 429 nt
Filed under: Actinomycetes bacterium
Lineage: Bacteria; Bacillati; Actinomycetota; Actinomycetes
Description: Actinobacteria bacterium partial 16S ribosomal RNA
Rfam family: Bacterial small subunit ribosomal RNA
Source: RNAcentral
UAGGGAAUCUUCCGCAAUGGGCGAAAGCUUGACGGAGCAACGCCGCGUGAGUGAUGAAGGUCUUCGGAUCGUAAAACUCUGUUAUUAGGGAAGAACAAAUGUGUAAGUAACUAUGCACGUCUUGACGGUACCUAAUCAGAAAGCCACGGCUAACUACGUGCCAGCAGCCGCGGUAAUACGUAGGUGGCAAGCGUUAUCCGGAAUUAUUGGGCGUAAAGCGCGCGUAGGCGGUUUUUUAAGUCUGAUGUGAAAGCCCACGGCUCAACCGUGGAGGGUCAUUGGAAACUGGAAAACUUGAGUGCAGAAGAGGAAAGUGGAAUUCCAUGUGUAGCGGUGAAAUGCGCAUAGAUAUGGAGGAACACCAGUGGCGAAGGCGACUUUCUGGUCUGUAACUGACGCUGAUGUGCGAAAGCGUGGGGAUCAAACAGG